CCUACGGGUGGCAGCAGUGAGGAAUAUUGGUCAAUGGGCGCGAGCCUGAACCAGCCAAGUCGCGUGAGGGAGGACGGCCCUACGGGUUGUAAACCUCUUUUGCCGGGGAGCAACGGGCGCCACGUGUGGCGUCCCUGAGAGUCCCCGGAGAAAAAGCAUCGGCUAACUCCGUGCCAGCAGCCGCGGUAAUACGUAGGUGGCAAGCGUUAUCCGGAUUUACUGGGUGUAAAGGGCGUGUAGGCGGGAAAGCAAGUCAGAUGUGAAAACCAUGGGCUCAACCUGUGGCCUGCAUUUGAAACUGUUGUUCUUGAGUACGGGAGAGGCAGACGGAAUUCCUAGUGUAGCGGUGAAAUGCGUAGAUAUUAGGAGGAACACCAGUGGCGAAGGCGGUCUGCUGGACAGCAACUGACGCUGAGGCGCGAAAGCGUGGGGAGCAAACAGGAUUAGAUACCCUGGUAGUC
This 461-nucleotide ribosomal RNA is filed under the name uncultured bacterium. RNAcentral's name for it is "partial 16S ribosomal RNA". It matches the Rfam family "Bacterial small subunit ribosomal RNA", at positions 338 to 795 of the family's 1533-position model. The record is from RNAcentral.